Oncorhynchus keta (chum salmon) is the source of this 236-nucleotide long non-coding RNA. RefSeq lists it as uncharacterized. Lineage: Eukaryota; Metazoa; Chordata; Actinopteri; Salmoniformes; Salmonidae. The record is from RefSeq and is a predicted model, not a curated record. The transcript has 3 exons.
GGUCUGUGACUACUGGUGUGUUUCUAUUGUCGUAAAGGUCAGUGACUACUGGUGUGUUUCUGUUGUCAUAAAGGUCUGUGACUACUGGUGUGUUUCUGUUGUCAUAAAGGUCUGUGACUACUGGUGUGUUUCUGUUGUCAUAAAGGUCUGUGACUACUGGUGUGUUUCUGUUGUCAUAAAGGUCUGUGACUACUGGUGUGUUUCUGUUGUCAUAAAGGUCUGUGACUACUGGUGUG